RNAcentral lists this transfer RNA (565 nucleotides) under Pseudomonas amygdali pv. lachrymans. Its description in RNAcentral is "partial 16S-23S ribosomal RNA intergenic spacer". The stretch from base 81 to 154 matches the Rfam family "tRNA". Lineage: Bacteria; Pseudomonadati; Pseudomonadota; Gammaproteobacteria; Pseudomonadales; Pseudomonadaceae. The record is from RNAcentral.
GACGACUCAGCUGCACCAUAAGCACCCACACGAAUUGCUUGAUUCAUUGAAGAAGACGAUUAGAAGCAGCGCCCGAGUUCGGGUCUGUAGCUCAGUUGGUUAGAGCGCACCCCUGAUAAGGGUGAGGUCGGCAGUUCGAAUCUGCCCAGACCCACCAGUUUACUGGUGAGAUAGCUGGUCAGAGUAGACGCCUCCACGGUAUGUAGAAAUACGGGGCCAUAGCUCAGCUGGGAGAGCGCCUGCCUUGCACGCAGGAGGUCAGCGGUUCGAUCCCGCUUGGCUCCACCACUUACUGCUUCUGUUUGAAAGCUUAGAAAUGAGCAUUCCAUUGAUCCUGAUGAUCAAUGCAUGAAUGUUGAUUUCUAGUCUUUGAUUAGAUCGUUCUUUAAAAAUUUGGGUAUGUGAUAGAAAGAAAUAGACCGGGCACCUCUUUCACUGGUGUGUGUCCGGGCUAAGGUAAAGUUUGUGAAAUGCAAACUUUCGGCGAAUGUCGUCUUCACAGUAUAACCAGAUUGCUUGGGGUUAUAUGGUCAAGUGAAGAAGCGCAUACGGUGGAUGCCUUGGC